UAAAAACGACUCUCGGCAACGGAUAUCUCGGCUCUCGCAUCGAUGAAGAACGUAGCGAAAUGCGAUACUUGGUGUGAAUUGCAGAAUCCCGCGAACCAUCGAGUCUUUGAACGCAAGUUGCGCCCGAAGCCAUUAGGUCGAGGGCACGUCUGCCUGGGCGU
Molecule: ribosomal RNA, 161 nt
Filed under: Camellia sasanqua
Lineage: Eukaryota; Viridiplantae; Streptophyta; Magnoliopsida; Ericales; Theaceae
Description: 5.8S ribosomal RNA
Rfam family: 5.8S ribosomal RNA
About the family: 5.8S ribosomal RNA (5.8S rRNA) is a component of the large subunit of the eukaryotic ribosome.
Source: RNAcentral